GACGAACUGCCCAAACGUUGUUCGGAAUCACUGGGCUUAAAGGGUGCGUAGGCGGCUUACCAAGUCAGGGGUGAAAUCCGGCAGCUCAACUGUCGAAGUGCCUUUGAUACUGGUGAGCUCGAGGGAGGUAGGGGUCCGUGGAACUUCUGGUGGAGCGGUGAAAUGCGUUGAUAUCAGAAGGAACGCCGGUGGCGAAAGCGACGGACUGGAUCUUUUCUGACGCUGAGGCACGAAAGCUAGGGGAGCAAACGGG
RNAcentral lists this ribosomal RNA (253 nucleotides) under uncultured bacterium. RNAcentral's name for it is "partial 16S ribosomal RNA". It matches the Rfam family "Bacterial small subunit ribosomal RNA", at positions 524 to 776 of the family's 1533-position model. The record is from RNAcentral.